RNAcentral lists this long non-coding RNA (647 nucleotides) under Panax ginseng (ginseng). RNAcentral's name for it is "long non-coding RNA (PGIN_LNC010285)". The record is from RNAcentral. Lineage: Eukaryota; Viridiplantae; Streptophyta; Magnoliopsida; Apiales; Araliaceae.
GCCAUGAACAUGAUAAUCAAUAAAAUCAACAAACCACGGAUCGGAUCCAAAACAGAUGAAUGGAAGCCCUAACCAUCGAAUGGGCUAAAGAUCAAACAUCCGAAAUCAAUAGGCCAAACAAACCCAUGUUCCGCGGCAAGAGCAAGCAAGAACUGAUUAAAGACACAAAUGCAAGAAAUACAUAUAAGAAUUUGGGGAAACCAUGCACACAUGCUUUCAAGAUCAUCUUCAGCAGAGGACCAUUUUCCAAAACCCUUCGGACAUCCGCAGCCAUCAAGAUUUGAAACCAUGCUCACAUGCUUCUUCAUCACUUAAAGCUCUCUUUUCGUGAAUAUAAUUAUAUAACAAUUUCGGGAAGCAUUUACAUGGCCCCUUCUGGUAGUGGUGAUCAAGAGUCUACUCCCAUUUGACGUGCCUAGAAAUAAUUCAUGAAGAAUCCUCCAGGCUUCGAUUGUUGGCACAUCCACGGAUGACGGACCCCAAGCAAACCUCCAUACGAGAUCAUAACCCCAAACCCCCCGAACUUUGGUCUUCAUAGAUCGAAAAACGAAUUUCGGGAUUUGGGUGUGAAGAGAAGAGAAGAAGAGUCGACAUAGUACUUAGGUUAGGUCUAAGAGAGUGAGGGUAAAGUAAGUAACUGAUGUCUG